UUUAUUGGAGAGUUUGAUCCUGGCUCAGGACGAACGCUGGCGGCGUGCCUAAUACAUGCAAGUCGAGCGGACAGAUG
This 77-nucleotide ribosomal RNA is filed under the name Bacillus velezensis. Its description in RNAcentral is "partial 16S ribosomal RNA". It matches the Rfam family "Bacterial small subunit ribosomal RNA", at positions 1 to 76 of the family's 1533-position model. The record is from RNAcentral. Lineage: Bacteria; Bacillati; Bacillota; Bacilli; Caryophanales; Bacillaceae.